Molecule: ribosomal RNA, 224 nt
Filed under: uncultured bacterium
Lineage: Bacteria
Description: partial 16S ribosomal RNA
Rfam family: Bacterial small subunit ribosomal RNA
Source: RNAcentral
AGUAACGCGUGGAUAGCCUGCCUCACACUGGGGGAUAACAGUUAGAAAUGACUGCUAAUACCGCAUAAGCGCACAGUACCGCAUGGUACAGUGUGAAAAACUCCGGUGGUGUGAGAUGGAUCCGCGCUGAUUAGCCAGUUGGCGGGGUAACGGCCCACCAAAGCGACGAUCAGUAGCCGACCUGAGAGGGUGACCGGCCACAUUGGGACUGAGACACGGCCCAA